AUGCUCCAUCUGUUAGCUCUACUGCUGCCCCUGAUGCCACCACUGCAGCUCCUGCCACCACUGCAGUUCAUGUCACCCUUGCAGCUCCCGCCACCCCUGCAGCUCAUGCCACCCUUGCAGCUCCCGCCACCCCUGCAGCUCAUGCCACCCCUGCAGCUCCCACCACCCGUGCAGCUCAUGCCACCCCUGCAGCUCCCGCCACCCCUGCAGCUCCCGCCACCAUGACCAAUGCUGUUCAAAGCACCACUCGAGCUGGCUUCUUCAGCUCGAUUUGGAAAAUAGUGGGUUGAAAUAUUACUAAGAUGGAAUUAGUCCGAGGUAUCUGCAUUUGAUCUUGCAGGGCUCGGCACAAGGCCCAUCCAUUUGAUUUAAUCUAACUACUUAUCAAGUCUACCAUCUUUAUCUUAUCUUUAAUCAGUUUAUGGUUUUCAAAUAAAAAAUAAUAUUGAGCAACA
RNAcentral lists this long non-coding RNA (455 nucleotides) under Vulpes vulpes (red fox). RNAcentral's name for it is "lncRNA (ENSVVUG00000023663.1)". Lineage: Eukaryota; Metazoa; Chordata; Mammalia; Carnivora; Canidae. The record is from RNAcentral.